UUGAUGCUGAAGAAAAUGAGCUAUAAAUUACGCUUCUGGCUGAUGGAGUUGGGCUCUGAGCCUCCAUGGAUGCAGACCUCCAUGAGACAACUGUUCAGAAGACCUAAAAAUAAACACUCAAGUUCAAAUCCUGAAGUUCUUUGCUUUCUUCUUGCCUUGCUCAAAGAGAUCUCCAGGGCAUCUGUGCUGCUCCAGAACACAUGAUGAAUAACAAUCUGAAUGAUAAAGAAGAUAAGCAGGAAAUGUCUCCACAUCAGAGAAAAUGUCUGACUUGUUAGACUGUCAUUUAAGGAAAUUUCCAUAUAGAAGACAAACUUUCACAGGGCAGAACUGCACUCAGCAAUGCGGUCUGUAUUCUGCAGAACGUUCCCUUCACAUCAGCUACAGUGGGAGCCUGGGGAACAGCACUGGUUCUUCUUUUAAUAUACUGAAAAUCUUACUUGAACGUUGCUUCAACCAUUAUUGAAACUGCAACUGUUUCUCCACCCCUUCCCUGCAUGUGCUCUCUUUGCCCAAAACUGGGCUGAGGAGUGGAGUUAUUGGAGCCCUUAGGAAAAUAAAUAAAUAAAUAAAUAAAUAAACCAAACCA
Cygnus atratus (black swan) is the source of this 589-nucleotide long non-coding RNA. RefSeq lists it as uncharacterized. The record is from RefSeq and is a predicted model, not a curated record. The transcript has 2 exons. NCBI's taxonomy places the organism in Eukaryota, Metazoa, Chordata, Aves, Anseriformes, Anatidae.